AUGAGCGUGAGUGGGCCAGAUCUGGAG
This 27-nucleotide non-coding RNA is filed under the name Cricetulus griseus (Chinese hamster). Lineage: Eukaryota; Metazoa; Chordata; Mammalia; Rodentia; Cricetidae. The record is from RNAcentral.